AUUGAACGCUGGCGGCAUGCCUUACACAUGCAAGUCGAACGGCAGCACGGGAGCAAUCCUGGUGGCGAGUGGCGAACGGGUGAGUAGAGUAUCGGAACGUGCCCAGUCGUGGGGGAUAACGUAGCGAAAGUUACGCUAAUACCGCAUACGAUCUAUGGAUGAAAGCGGGGGAUCGCAAGACCUCGCGCGAUUGGAGCGGCCGAUAUCAGAUUAGCUAGUUGGUGGGGUAAAGGCCCACCAAGGCGACGAUCUGUAGCUGGUCUGAGAGGACGACCAGCCACACUGGAACGGAGACACGGUCCAGACUCCUACGGGAGGCAGCAGUGGGGAAUUUUGGACAAUGGGCGCAAGCCUGAUCCAGCAAUGCCGCGUGCAGGAUGAAGGCCUUCGGGUUGUAAACUGCUUUUGUACGGAACGAAACGGCCCUUUCUAAUACAGGGGGCUAAUGACGGUACCGUAAGAAUAAGCACCGGCUAACUACGUGCCAGCCGCCGCCGUAA
RNAcentral lists this ribosomal RNA (500 nucleotides) under uncultured bacterium. Its description in RNAcentral is "partial 16S ribosomal RNA". It matches the Rfam family "Bacterial small subunit ribosomal RNA", at positions 30 to 523 of the family's 1533-position model. The record is from RNAcentral.